This 253-nucleotide ribosomal RNA is filed under the name uncultured bacterium. Its description in RNAcentral is "partial 16S ribosomal RNA". It matches the Rfam family "Bacterial small subunit ribosomal RNA", at positions 524 to 776 of the family's 1533-position model. The record is from RNAcentral.
UACGUAGGGUGCAAGCGUUGUCCGGAAUUAUUGGGCGUAAAGAGCUCGUAGGCGGUCUGUCGCGUCGGCUGUGAAAACUCGAGGCUCAACCUCGAGACGUCGGUUGAAACCGCUUGGCUAGAGUCCGGAAGAGGAGAGUGGAAUUCCCGGUGUAGCGGUGAAAUGCGCAGAUAUCGGGAAGAACACCCGUGGCGAAGGCGGCUCUCUGGGACGGUACUGACGCUGAGACGCGAAAGCGUGGGGAGCGAACAGG